RNAcentral lists this ribosomal RNA (460 nucleotides) under uncultured archaeon. RNAcentral's name for it is "bacterial SSU rRNA". It matches the Rfam family "Archaeal small subunit ribosomal RNA", at positions 365 to 827 of the family's 1478-position model. The record is from RNAcentral.
GCGUGACGGGGGCAGUCUGAGUGCCAUCCUAACGGAUGGCUUUUCUCGAGUUUUAAUCGCUCGGGGAAUAAGUGGUGGGUAAAACUCGUGCCAGCCGCCGCGGUAAUACGAGUAGCACAAGUGGUAUCCACGAAUAUUGAGCUUAAAGCGUUCGUAGCCGGCUCGGCCAGUUCCUUGUGAAAUCUGUCGACUCAAUCGACAGGCUUGCAGGGAAUACUACCGGGCUCGGGAGUGGGGGAGGCAAGAGGUACUCUAGGGGGAGCGGUAAAAUGCUUUAAUCCUUAGAGGACCCACAGUGGCGAAGGCGUCUUGCCAAAACACGUCCGACGGUGAGGGACGAAGGCUAGGGGAGCGAACGGGAUUAGAUACCCCGGUAGUCCUAGCAGUAAAUGAUGCAGACUUGGCGUUGCAUUAACCACGAGUUAAUGCAGUGCCGUAGGGAAACCGUUUAGUCUGCCGC